This 2341-nucleotide long non-coding RNA is filed under the name Canis lupus familiaris (dog). Its description in RNAcentral is "lncRNA (ENSCAFG00845031002.1)". The record is from RNAcentral. Lineage: Eukaryota; Metazoa; Chordata; Mammalia; Carnivora; Canidae.
GGAGAGUCUUUAAUCUUGUUUUGCUAUUGGUGUAUACUGUUCGGGAAAAUUCUCCUGCAAUUCUUGGCCAAUUAAUCCCCCACAAAAACAUGAGAAUGCCUUCUGCUGGCGCCUUUGUACACAGUCAAAGGAAUGAUAUUCACGCUUAAAGAUAGUUGAGAUCAGACACAAAGGGUUAAUCCCAAUGAGCAGACAGCGCGAUUUCUGAUUGAACAAAGAACACUUUAUUGAGUGCUGCCUGGGUGCGGGGAGAAGAGCGGGAUGACCCAGAUGGGAGGCAAGAUCCUCCUGGAGGUCCUGAGGUUCCGGGCCCCCUUCGGUGGGCGGGGCCGUCGGGAACCUAAGAGCACUCUGCGGGGGCCACCUUCUUCUCCACGGUGCUCCCCUCGUGCGUGACCAGGCAGCUGAAGCUGCUGUGAGAUUUCCACUUGUCAGGCGUCAGGCUCAGGUAGCUGCUGGCCGCGUACUUGUUGUUGCUCUGCUUGGAGGGCUUGGUGGUCUCCACGGUGCUCCCCUCGUGCGUGACCAGGCAGCUGAAGCUGCUGUGAGAUUUCCACUUGUCAGGCGUCAGGCUCAGGUAGCUGCUGGCCGCGUACUUGUUGUUGCUCUGCUUGGAGGGCUUGGUGGUCUCCACACCCUGGGUGAUGGGGCUGCCGUCUGCCUUCCAGGCCACUGUCACGCCGCUGGGGUAGAAGUCGCUGAUGAGGCACACCAGGGUGGCCUUGUUGGCGCCAAGCUCCUCAGAGGAGGGCGGGAAGAGUGUGACCGAAGGGGAGGCCUUGGGCUGACCUGUGGGGAUGGAAGGCCAGUGGGUCAAAUGCAGAUGGUUGUUGUGUCAGCACCUACCUGAGUCCUGGUGUGGGGCUUCAGCUGUGUCAUGUCCGCGGCUCAGGCCUCCUGUGGACCUCGUUCCCCGCGUUCAGGGCAGCCAUUGGUAGUUAGCUCCCCCACCUUCUGAGGUGAGAAUGUGAGUGCCAGAUUCUCUAGUUUCUGGUCCCUUCCAUGUCCUUAGGCUGUCUGCACGUCACGUAUACUUCGUGUCCACCCAGUGUGCUCCCGGUACUGGUGGGGUACAGGAGCCCUGAGAUCCUGUUUCCCUUCUGAACCUGAGUGUCCUUGACCAUUGGUCUCCAUGUGACUACACCCGUGUCACUUACCCGUGAUUUCCUAGAGCUUGCCUCUCUCCGUGACAGGGCUCUGUUCUUACCAUGUGAACAGUAGGUUUCCUGUCCCCAGACUGUCUCACACCUUCACAGCAGCCUUCCCUGCCUCCCUAUCUAUCCCCGCACUAGAGCCCCUGAGGUUGUAAGUGCAAUGAGUUCCUGGUCCUGGAUUCCAGGAAGUGCAGAGACCAAAGGGAUUUGCAUGAAUGAAUUUUCAUUAUGCAGCUGGGAUUGUGUUUGAUCUGAGGUUGUCCUCUGAUCCAUGAAGUUAUCCUGGUGCAUCUGUUUGUCCUUGGAUUUCUGAGUGCUGUGUGGGCAAUGUCUCUGUUCUGCGUUCCAAUUGCCCCCCUGAUCCAAAUUUCUGCUCAUUGGCUUUUAAGCCUCGGAGAGCUGUGUAGGGAUGGACCCCUGCUACCUGAGUGUCUCGAGGAUGCCUUGUGUGAGUGACGGUCUAUUCUUGGUGUGUGUUCUCUCCCCCUAGGCGGUGGAUGGUCCUACCGCACUGGGCUCCCUUAUCUGAAGUCCUCACCUUAUUCUUGACCCUGAGCUGUACUUCGCCUUCCUUGUCUCUAAGUCCCCAUGCCUAGUGUCUCCUCCCUGAGCUUCACCCAGCCUCUGGCUAGGAUCCCCACCACACGCAGAGAGAGAGCAAGCGCCUUGGCAGGCCCCAGAAUCCUUCCAUAAUCCCAUGGCCCUGCUUACAGCUCGAGUAUCCCUCUUCCUAUACUUCACCAUCAUUUCCCUCAGAUUCUUGAAGUCAAAGGCCCAGAGUGGGGAGUCACAGAUGCCCAAGUCCAGGGGAGAAGUUUCCCUCAUGGGGAGAGAGCUCGACCCCCAGGGAAGCCUGAGUGUAGAUCAGGGGCUGCUUCCCCGAGGCACCGAAUGGACCUCUGACAUGGUGGGAGCAGUGGACGAAUGAGGGGCAGAGCAAGGCGACCAAAAGAACAGACCCACAGAUCUUCAGCCUCAGCCCGCAUCAGGAUUGAAAGGAGACAAACAUUGCCAGAAAUUGUAGUGUGGAGGCGAAAGAGGAGAGAAAGGGGGAGACUCACCGAGGACGGUCAGAUGGGUGCCUCCGCCGAACACAAUACACUGUGACACAGCCUCGAGCACAAACCCUCUGUCAGCCCCUCCACCCCUGACCCAGGCCCACCUGCAGCUGCUCGGGAGGCCCAAAG